GUUGCGGUGGCCGAGUGGUUAAGGCGUUGGACUUGAAAUCCUAUGGGAUCUUCCCGCGCAGGUUCGAAUCCUGCCCGCAACG
RNAcentral lists this transfer RNA (82 nucleotides) under Nematostella vectensis (starlet sea anemone). It matches the Rfam family "tRNA". Rfam says of the family: Transfer RNA (tRNA) molecules are approximately 80 nucleotides in length. Their secondary structure includes four short double-helical elements and three loops (D, anti-codon, and T loops). The record is from Rfam by way of RNAcentral. Lineage: Eukaryota; Metazoa; Cnidaria; Anthozoa; Actiniaria; Edwardsiidae.